Molecule: ribosomal RNA, 437 nt
Filed under: Afruca tangeri
Lineage: Eukaryota; Metazoa; Arthropoda; Malacostraca; Decapoda; Ocypodidae
Description: partial 16S ribosomal RNA
Rfam family: Bacterial large subunit ribosomal RNA
Source: RNAcentral
GGGCCGCGGUAAUCUGACCGUGCAAAGGUAGCAUAAUCGUUAGUUUUUUAAUUGGAAUCUUGUAUGAAUGAUUGGACAAAAGAAAAUCUGUCUUUAUAUUUUUUCUUGAAAUUAACUUUCAGGUGAAAAGGCUUGAAUAAGUUAAAAAGACGAUAAGACCCUAUAAAGCUUGAUAAAUCUAUAGUUAGUUUAGCUAAAUUAAUAAAUAAAAGCUAGAUGAUUAAUUUUAUUUUAUUGGGGCGAUGAUGGUAUAAUGAAUAUUAACUGCUAAAAACUUAGACAAAUAUAGAUGAUUGAGACUUUAGAUGAUCCUAAAAUUAAGAUUAAAAGUUUAAGUUACUUUAGGGAUAACAGCGUUAUUUUUCUUGAGAGUUCUUAUCGAAAGAAGAGUUUGCGACCUCGAUGUUGAAUUAAAGUUUCUAUACAAUUGUAGAAGU